AUCCAACUGACGAGUCCCGAAUGGAACAAAACGCGCGUUCUGAAU
This 45-nucleotide non-coding RNA is filed under the name Schistosoma mattheei. The record is from RNAcentral. Lineage: Eukaryota; Metazoa; Platyhelminthes; Trematoda; Strigeidida; Schistosomatidae.